GAUGAACGCUGGCGGCGUGCCUAACACAUGCAAGUCGAGCGAACAGACGAUGAGCUUGCUCUUCUGACGUUAGCGGCGGACGGGUGAGUAACACGUGGAGAAUCUCCCUAUAAUACUGGGAUAACUACGGGACACCAGAGCUGAUACCGUAUAAUAUAUUGCACCGCAUGGUUCAAUAGUGAAUGUCGGUUUUGCUGUCACUUAUAGAUGGUUCCGCGCCGCAUUAGCUAGUUGGUAAGGUAACAGCUUACCAAGGCAACGAUGCGUAGCCGACCGGAGGGCGUGGUCGGCCACACGGGAACUGAGACACGGUCCAGACUCCUACGGGAGGCAGCAGUAGGGAAUCUUCCGCAAUGGGGGAAAGCCUGACAGAGCAACGCCGCGUGAGUGAUGAAGGUCUUCGGAUCGUAAAACUCUGUUAUUAGGGAAGAACAAAUGUGUAAGUAAAUAUGCAGGUAUUGACGGUACCUAAUGAGAAAGCCACGGCUAACUACGUG
Molecule: ribosomal RNA, 497 nt
Filed under: uncultured bacterium
Lineage: Bacteria
Description: partial 16S ribosomal RNA
Rfam family: Bacterial small subunit ribosomal RNA
Source: RNAcentral